AUACGGAGGGUGCAAGCGUUAAUCGGAAUUACUGGGCGUAAAGCGCACGCAGGCGGUCUGUUAAGUCAGAUGUGAAAUCCCCGGGCUUAACCUGGGAACUGCAUUUGAAACUGGCAGGCUUGAGUCUUGUAGAGGGGGGUAGAAUUCCAGGUGUAGCGGUGAAAUGCGUAGAGAUCUGGAGGAAUACCGGUGGCGAAGGCGGCCCCCUGGACAAAGACCGACGCUCAGGUGCGAAAGCGUGGGGAGCAUACAGGAUUAGAUACCCUGGUAGUCCACGCCGUAAACGAUGUCGACUUGGAGGCUGUGAGCAUGACUCGUGGCUUCCGGAGCUAACGCGUUAAGUCGACCGCCUGGGGAGUACGGCCGCAAGGUUAAA
RNAcentral lists this ribosomal RNA (376 nucleotides) under uncultured bacterium. Its description in RNAcentral is "bacterial SSU rRNA". It matches the Rfam family "Bacterial small subunit ribosomal RNA", at positions 523 to 898 of the family's 1533-position model. The record is from RNAcentral.